This 599-nucleotide ribosomal RNA is filed under the name Bacillus altitudinis. RNAcentral's name for it is "bacterial SSU rRNA". It matches the Rfam family "Bacterial small subunit ribosomal RNA", at positions 82 to 667 of the family's 1533-position model. Lineage: Bacteria; Bacillati; Bacillota; Bacilli; Caryophanales; Bacillaceae. The record is from RNAcentral.
CUCCCGGAUGUUAGCGGCGGACGGGUGAGUAACACGUGGGUAACCUGCCUGUAAGACUGGGAUAACUCCGGGAAACCGGAGCUAAUACCGGAUAGUUCCUUGAACCGCAUGGUUCAAGGAUGAAAGACGGUUUCGGCUGUCACUUACAGAUGGACCCGCGGCGCAUUAGCUAGUUGGUGAGGUAACGGCUCACCAAGGCGACGAUGCGUAGCCGACCUGAGAGGGUGAUCGGCCACACUGGGACUGAGACACGGCCCAGACUCCUACGGGAGGCAGCAGUAGGGAAUCUUCCGCAAUGGACGAAAGUCUGACGGAGCAACGCCGCGUGAGUGAUGAAGGUUUUCGGAUCGUAAAGCUCUGUUGUUAGGGAAGAACAAGUGCAAGAGUAACUGCUUGCACCUUGACGGUACCUAACCAGAAAGCCACGGCUAACUACGUGCCAGCAGCCGCGGUAAUACGUAGGUGGCAAGCGUUGUCCGGAAUUAUUGGGCGUAAAGGGCUCGCAGGCGGUUUCUUAAGUCUGAUGUGAAAGCCCCCGGCUCAACCGGGGAGGGUCAUUGGAAACUGGGAAACUUGAGUGCAGAAGAGGAGAGUGGAAU